This 498-nucleotide ribosomal RNA is filed under the name uncultured bacterium. RNAcentral describes it as "partial 16S ribosomal RNA". It matches the Rfam family "Bacterial small subunit ribosomal RNA", at positions 30 to 523 of the family's 1533-position model. The record is from RNAcentral.
AUUGAACGCUGGCGGCAUGCCUUACACAUGCAAGUCGAACGGUAACAGGUCUUCGGAUGCUGACGAGUGGCGAAUGGGUGAGUAAUACAUCGGAACGUGCCUAGUAGUGGGGGAUAACUACUCGAAAGAGUGGCUAAUACCGCAUGAGAUCUACGGAUGAAAGCAGGGGAUCGCAAGACCUUGUGCUACUAGAGCGGCCGAUGGCAGAUUAGGUAGUUGGUGGGAUAAAAGCUUACAAAGCCGACGAUCUGUAGCUGGUCUGAGAGGACGAUCAGCCACACUGGGACUGAGACACGGCCCAGACUCCUACGGGAGGCAGCAGUGGGGAAUUUUGGACAAUGGGCGAAAGCCUGAUCCAGCAAUGCCGCGUGCAGGAUGAAGGCCUUCGGGUUGUAAACUGCUUUUGUACGGAACGAAAAGCCCCGGGUUAAUACCCUGGGGUCAUGACGGUACCGUAAGAAUAAGCACCGGCUAACUACGUGCCAGCAGCCGCCGUAA